This 354-nucleotide ribosomal RNA is filed under the name Triticum aestivum (bread wheat). RNAcentral's name for it is "partial small subunit ribosomal RNA". The record is from RNAcentral. Lineage: Eukaryota; Viridiplantae; Streptophyta; Magnoliopsida; Poales; Poaceae.
AUGUGUAGGGAAGCUGUGUGUUUGUUUCAGGUUGGGGAACACCUUGGGCAGGUAGUGGAGACGAUGACCUUGUUGCGGGGUGUACAAGGCGAAGCUGGCCAACAUCGAGCUGUGGCUGCUGCGCGAGGGAAAGAACUACAAGACGCUGGGUCAUGCAACCCUAUCGUGCGGCACAUCGGGGUUCAGAGGCGAGCGGCACUAGAAUCGGUGCCUCUCCGAGCCUUCAAUCAGGGUUGCGGAAAAGAGAAGAUGGAUGUACUACUUCAUCCGCCGAACACUCCAUUAUUUGGUGAAAGCAUUUGUGCUAUUUCUUUGAUCCGAAUGGAAGACAACUUUUUUCAAGAUUGUUGGUAA